UACGUAGGGCGCAAGCGUUAUCCGGAAUUAUUGGGCGUAAAGAGCUCGCAGGCGGCUUGUCGCGUCGGUUGUGAAAGCCCGGGGCUUAACUCCGGGUCUGCAGUCGAUACGGGCAGGCUAGAGUUCGGUAGGGGAGAUUGGAAUUCCUGGUGUAGCGGUGGAAUGCGCAGAUAUCAGGAGGAACACCGAUGGCGAAGGCAGAUCUCUGGGCCGUAACUGACGCUGAGGAGCGAAAGCAUGGGGAGCGAACAGG
This 253-nucleotide ribosomal RNA is filed under the name uncultured bacterium. RNAcentral's name for it is "partial 16S ribosomal RNA". It matches the Rfam family "Bacterial small subunit ribosomal RNA", at positions 524 to 776 of the family's 1533-position model. The record is from RNAcentral.